Molecule: long non-coding RNA, 310 nt
Filed under: Lathyrus oleraceus (garden pea)
Lineage: Eukaryota; Viridiplantae; Streptophyta; Magnoliopsida; Fabales; Fabaceae
Description: Pisum sativum (pea) long non-coding RNA (PSAT_LNC018147)
Source: RNAcentral
UCAAGAGCAAGCAAUCAAGAAUCAGGUCAAACUAAUCUCCUGAUCAGUCAACCAAGCAAGCAAAGGAAUUUCUCAUUGAAUCAAGGCCUUGGGGUUUGUCCAACAAGUUCACAUGGCUUGGAGGUCUAUUUGAAGUAUUUUGGUCAAGGGUUGAGGGCUCAGAGGUCAGCAGUUCAUACACAGACAGUCAAAAACCCUAAAAAAGUCAACUGUCAGUCAAAGCAGUGGAUGGUGGUCAUUCUUGUGGAAUUUGGGCACCAUGAUCAAUAAUCAAGAGUUCAUACAACUUGGGACAUCAUUUGAAGUCAAN